GACGAACGCUGGCGGCGUGCCUAAUACAUGCAAGUCGAACGCUUUUUCUUUCACCGGAGCUUGCUCCAUCGAAAGAAAAAGAGUGGCGAACGGGUGAGUAACACGUGGGUAACCUGCCCAUCAGAAGGGGAUAACACUUGGAAACAGGUGCUAAUACCGUAUAACACUAUUUUCCGCAUGGAAGAAAGUUGAAAGGCGCUUUUGCGUCACUGAUGGAUGGACCCGGGGUGCAUUAGCUAGUUGGUGAGGUAACGGCUCACCAAGGCAACGAUGCAUAGCCGACCUGAGAGGGUGAUCGGCCACACUGGGACUGAGACACGGCCCAGACUCCUACGGGAGGCAGCAGUAGGGAAUCUUCGGCAAUGGACGAAAGUCUGACCGAGCAACGCCGCGUGAGUGAAGAAGGUUUUCGGAUCGUAAAACUCUGUUGUUAGAGAAGAACAAGGAUGAGAGUAAAAUGUUCAUCCCUUGACAGUAUCUAACCAGAAAGCCACGGCUAACUACGUGCCAGCAGCCGCGGUAA
RNAcentral lists this ribosomal RNA (523 nucleotides) under uncultured bacterium. RNAcentral describes it as "partial 16S ribosomal RNA". It matches the Rfam family "Bacterial small subunit ribosomal RNA", at positions 28 to 523 of the family's 1533-position model. The record is from RNAcentral.